UUAGGUGACCUCAAAGACCAUGCUCAGGAUUGGUCCUUCUGAUUUCUCACAUUCUGUGUAUAAAUACAAGGACAUGCAAGAAUUACCCCUGUCUUGAGCAGACAUUUGCACCAUGUUUUCUUUCUAUCAAAAAGCUAAGAAAACUUUUCAUGUUCACUUCUCCUCAGAGGAUCUAAGCUGCUUAGAAAUUUAUAUUACUUACCUGCCAGAGAAGAAGCUGUUACUGCCUAUUAUUUCUUACUAGUAAUGGAAACCUGAUUGGGGAGGUCUAAUGAUUUUUAGCUGGUGGACGCCCCUACCAAGGGCCACUAAGCAGAAGCCUUGUGCCGUGGUGCUGUGUUGGUGCCAGCAUAUAUGCUGCUGCAUGGGCUUGGUGCGAGAGGGAAGCAGGCUUCAGAAAGGCUUCCUGAGUGAAGUCCUGGCUGGGAGUAGACACUGCUGUCUCCAAGGACUCACUCCCAAGAUGCCCGGGAUGCACUGGAAAAUAUAUCUAAAAUUAAUAUAA
RNAcentral lists this long non-coding RNA (505 nucleotides) under Cairina moschata (Muscovy duck). Its description in RNAcentral is "domestica (muscovy Duck (domestic type)) lncRNA (ENSCMMG00000001430.1)". The record is from RNAcentral. Lineage: Eukaryota; Metazoa; Chordata; Aves; Anseriformes; Anatidae.